RNAcentral lists this transfer RNA (74 nucleotides) under Vulcaniibacterium thermophilum. RNAcentral's name for it is "tRNA-Ser". Lineage: Bacteria; Pseudomonadati; Pseudomonadota; Gammaproteobacteria; Lysobacterales; Lysobacteraceae. The record is from RNAcentral.
UCUGCCGCAUCGACUGGCGGCCUUCGCGACUGCUGGUCGCGGCGCUCGCGGCGCUCGGUCCGCUGGGGGCAUGG